GUUCCUCCCAAGAUGCCACCCGCUUCAUUCAAGUGUCUGGCAGCACUGUGUUCCUGUUAGAGCCACCAGCACAAGCACCAGACGAUGCUGAUCCAGGUGAAGGCCCCAGUGCAGCAGCAACAGCACAUGAUGGAGACGAUGAUGAGGAGGAGACCAUCUCUCUGGAUUCCAGAAGGCAUGAGGACCCAGAUGCUAUACAGUGGGAAAACCAGCCUGGCAACAUAGUGCGUAUUAAUAAAAGGACACCACAUCCUGCCAAAUUCCAGCUGCGCUAAUUGUAUUGUGUUCACAGAGCUCACAAGCUAUCAGAAAGUUGUAUGGCAACCACCUCCGGCGCCAAAUAGAACUGGCAGACAUAGACAUUCAGUACAAGAAGAAAAAGAUGGAAAAUCUUGC
This 396-nucleotide long non-coding RNA is filed under the name Salmo salar (Atlantic salmon). Its description in RNAcentral is "lncRNA (ENSSSAG00000104095.1)". Lineage: Eukaryota; Metazoa; Chordata; Actinopteri; Salmoniformes; Salmonidae. The record is from RNAcentral.